RNAcentral lists this ribosomal RNA (244 nucleotides) under uncultured Actinomycetales bacterium. RNAcentral describes it as "partial 16S ribosomal RNA". It matches the Rfam family "Bacterial small subunit ribosomal RNA", at positions 89 to 334 of the family's 1533-position model. The record is from RNAcentral. Lineage: Bacteria; Bacillati; Actinomycetota; Actinomycetes; Actinomycetales.
ACUCGAGUGGCGAACGGGUGAGUAACACGUGAGUAACCUGCCCUUGACUUUGGGAUAACUUCAGGAAACUGGGGCUAAUACCGGAUAGGAGCUCCUGCUGCAUGGUGGGGGUUGGAAAGUUUCGGCGAUUGGGGAUGGACUCGCGGCUUAUCAGCUUGUUGGUGGGGUAGUGGCUUACCAAGGCUUUGACGGGUAGCCGGCCUGAGAGGGUGACCGGCCACAUUGGGACUGAGAUACGGCCCAG